RNAcentral lists this ribosomal RNA (699 nucleotides) under uncultured bacterium. RNAcentral describes it as "bacterial SSU rRNA". It matches the Rfam family "Bacterial small subunit ribosomal RNA", at positions 8 to 728 of the family's 1533-position model. The record is from RNAcentral.
AGAGUUUGAUCCUGGCUCAGAACGAACGCUGGCGGCAGGCUUAACACAUGCAAGUCGAGCGCGCCUCCUGACUUCGGUCAGGCAGGUUAGCGGCGGACGGGUGAGUAACGCGUGGGAACGUGCCCUUAGGUACGGAACAACAGCUGGAAACGGCUGCUAAUACCGUAUGAUGUCUCUGACUUCGGUUAGGGACCAAAGAUUUAUCGCCUAGGGAUCGGCCCGCGUUGGAUUAGGUAGUUGGUGGGGUAAUGGCCUACCAAGCCUACGAUCCAUAGCUGGUUUGAGAGGAUGAUCAGCCACACUGGGACUGAGACACGGCCCAGACUCCUACGGGAGGCAGCAGUGGGGAAUCUUGGACAAUGGGGGAAACCCUGAUCCAGCCAUGCCGCGUGAACGAUGAAGGCCUUAGGGUUGUAAAGUUCUUUCAGCAGGGAAGAUAAUGACGGUACCUGCAGAAGAAGCCCCGGCUAACUCCGUGCCAGCAGCCGCGGUAAUACGGAGGGGGCUAGCGUUGUUCGGAAUUACUGGGCGUAAAGCGCGCGUAGGCGGAUUGUUAAGUCGGGGGUGAAAUCCCGGGGCUCAACCCCGGAACUGCCUCCGAUACUGGCGAUCUUGAGGUCGAGAGAGGUGAGUGGAAUUCCGAGUGUAGAGGUGAAAUUCGUAGAUAUUCGGAGGAACACCAGUGGCGAAGGCGGCUCA